RNAcentral lists this ribosomal RNA (292 nucleotides) under uncultured bacterium. RNAcentral describes it as "partial 16S ribosomal RNA". It matches the Rfam family "Bacterial small subunit ribosomal RNA", at positions 505 to 796 of the family's 1533-position model. The record is from RNAcentral.
GUGUCAGCAGCCGCGGUAAUACGUAGGCAGCAAGCGUUGUUCGGAAUUACUGGGCGUAAAGAGUGCGUAGGCGGUUGGCUAAGUUUGAUGUGAAAUCUCCCGGCUUAACUGGGAGGGUGCGUCGAAAACUGGUCAGCUAGAGUGCGGGAGAGGAUAGUGGAAUUCCUGGUGUAGCGGUGAAAUGCGUAGAUAUCAGGAGGAACACCUGAGGUGUAGACGGCUAUCUGGACCGUAACUGACGCUGAGGCACGAAAGCGUGGGGAGCAAACAGGAUUAGAAACCCGUGUAGUCC